RNAcentral lists this long non-coding RNA (1198 nucleotides) under Cricetulus griseus (Chinese hamster). RNAcentral describes it as "lncRNA (ENSCGRG00015034433.1)". Lineage: Eukaryota; Metazoa; Chordata; Mammalia; Rodentia; Cricetidae. The record is from RNAcentral.
CUUCUUCCUGCUCUCUGCUCUGUCGCUGCCAUGUGAUCCUGGCAAGACAGAACACAUUCUGCGGGUGUCUUAUGAUUAUGGUUGAUAAUUAAGACUGAGAUAGCAGAUAAGAAAUCCUAGUCAUUGGCCACCAGCAUUGUAUCUAAUAUAAGUCUCCAUGUGUUAUUUGGGGCCCUAACACAGCAGGCGGAACUCCAGCAGCUGGCAGAAAGACUUACAUUACAGGGAAGGGGAGACAGAAGAAAAGGAGAGAAAGAAAGGCAUCUAAGAAUAAAUGACCAGGAAAGUGGAGAAGUCUUGCCAGCUGUUUUGAGAUUGUCAAUUCUGUCCCAGUCAGGAAAGUUACACUUAGUGUUUUGAUAAAGCUUGAGGGGGACCUUUCUUGGGGGACCUCAGUGGAUUCCAUGGGGGUUGAGGUUGACCAAGGCAGAGGGACAAACAUGCCAGGCAACAGAGCUUAAGUGAGAAGUUUUAAUAAAAACAGAAGGGAUGGGGAAGGAAGGAGAAAGGAGGUAAAAAGACAUGGAUACAGGACAGAAUAGAAGAGGGAGACAGGAGAAGUCCUGUCUGCCCCAGGGGAGCAGUGGGAAAGAGGAGCGGACAAAGAGAAGGGAGCAGAAAUAGAGCAUAAGUGGUUGGGAGGUCUUUCUUUUAAAGGGAUCCUUUGCACUUGCUUGCAGACUACACACUCAUGGAACCCUGGGCUGACCAGGGUACUGCCUGAGUGCAUUCUGCCAGGUGACAGGGGCAGGCCAGCAUAAUGCCUGAAUCCUAACACCUAGCACAUUUCCACAUGAGAUGUUUACUCAGGAAAAUCAGUUUCCUUCUGCCUGGUUCAUAUUGUAGAAGGUAUCAUUAAGUAUGUCAAACUCCAAAAUGAACGUACAGCUGGGAAUUCAGCACAUUUCACCCAGCCAUGUACAGCUGUGGGCAGCAGCUCACAGGUGUGAACUAGAAACAACUCUUGGAUGGGGCCACAGAGUCCAGUUCUAUCCUGUGACUCUGUUCUUCCAAGUUGGCCUUGAACUCAUAGAGAUCCACUUGCCUCUGCCUCCCACGUGCUGUGAUCAAAGGAGCUGGGAUUACAGGUCUAUGCCAUGAUGGGAAUUGAACCUAGAGCUUCUUGUGUGCUAGGCAAGCACUCUACUAGAUGAGACACCAUGGGAAGAAAACUGGGGUGUUUUGCUCACAGUCUCUU